Long non-coding RNA from Meriones unguiculatus (Mongolian gerbil), 2531 nucleotides. RefSeq lists it as uncharacterized. The record is from RefSeq and is a predicted model, not a curated record. The transcript is spliced from 3 exons. NCBI's taxonomy places the organism in Eukaryota, Metazoa, Chordata, Mammalia, Rodentia, Muridae.
CCUAAGGCCGGUCCCAAUCGUUUCCUGUACCCUGGGGUUAUCUCUCGAUUCAAAAUUCCAGUCUCUGAUAGUGUGGUGCCCAAGGUUCAGUCUGGGACCGGGACCAGAGACACUGGCUUGUGGCUCUGGGCUGGGGCUGGGGCUGGCGGCCGGCAGCCAAGCGUCUGGCGGAACCGGGGUCUCUUCCGCGGUUUAGCCGGGUGAGUUAAAAGCUGAUUGAAUCCCCCACCGUGGGGGGAGGGGCAAGAUGGCGGCGCCGGGAGGACUCUCAUUCUGAGCAGCAGCACAACAGGAUCAGCACAGUGAACAGCAAUCAGAACUCUCGGCCAUAAAACACAGUCAUUGUGUUUCCCAGGUACUGGCUCUGCAUUAGAUCAGCAUGGCCCAUGGGUCCUAUGUGAGUCUAAGUGGAUGCAUGACGCAGAUUCAGCGGCCUGAGAGUUCACUACCAGUGUGGUGAAGGAAUGGCGUCAGGCAGACAUGACAACUGGAACACUGGCUGGGUGCACACAUCUCCAACCACAAACAGAAAGCAAAGCAUGACCUGGGCAUGGAAAGAGGCUUUUCAACCUUAAAGCCAACCCCAUCUCUUCAGCCUCCCCUAACAGUGUCACCAAUCAGGCCCCAAGUUUUCAAAUAACUGAAAAUAUGGGGACAUCCCAUUCAAACCACCAGAGUCACUGUUCGUCUAUUUUAGCCUUUGGCUUUCUUAGUCACAAUCAAUGAACAGUCCUAAUCACCCUGGAACCCAGUAGAAGUCAUGUAUGCCAAUGUUCAUUGAGUAAGGACUGCCAGCUUUGGUCCUCUUGUUUAUUAGGAAGCAAACCUGGGCCUCUCCGUUGAGGUCUUGGGGCAGGUGAGCUCACAUAGAGACCUGCUAAGUGACUUGAUAGAGCUUUCUCCAAGUUCUCGGUGCAAUUCACUCACACAACUGACAAUAGCCCUAUCAUCAGAGGAUGUAACUGUAAAGUCUGAACUAACACACUGUCCCAGGCUCAGAAACAAAGGUUUUGAAGGAGAUCUUUUCUCUCCAAGGGUCCGUGCCUGCCUCAAUCUGCCUAGUGCUAACAGAAAACAAAAUAAGCAAAGAGCCUACUAACAAACCUCUCCUUCUGGAAUGAAGAAAAUCAAAAAGCUGAAAAAAAUCCUGACCCUUAGAUCUGCUCUCAACAAAUGUAAAAGGAAGUCCUUUCAUUUGAAAUGAAAGAAAUGACAAUGUGGAAUACACAAGAGUUUGUAACUUAGUUGUAAAAGCAGACACAUAGUCAAAUUCGGCAUAUUCUGACACCGUUACACAUCAAUCACUUUAAAAGAAAGGUUAAAGAAAGUGUUAAAAAUAGUUAAAAUAACUGCAAUUAAAAACACAGUGUUCUUUCCUAAAUUCAGUAUUUGUAUCACACUGCUUUACCCCAACGCCCCGCAAAAAAAAAAAUCACAGAAGAACAGACAAAAAGAUUUUCAAACCAGAAGCUGGGGAAGAUUGAUUUAGGACUAGGUCUUCCAGACAUGGCAGGGUACUUGUACUAGUGAAAUUAUAGUAGCUGUGGUUACCUACAUGAAACCAAGCCAGGUAAAAUUCCAGCAUAGAUGGAGAAAGGAGUCACAAAACCUCACUACUAGUUGAGGAAGUAUUGCCAUUGGAUGAUGACUGAUGUGGGAGGAAGAGUUGAGUUAUUUUAGAGUGUAGCUUAUGGUAAGUCGCCCAUGCUUCAACAGCUGUCCCUGUUCCCAUGCACAUAAAAGCAUCAGUAAUUGGAUUCAGGGGUUAUUAAGAAAUCAAAAUUAAAAAUAAAGAGGAUAUGGUUAGUGGGUCUGAGAGGAGUUUGUGGAAGGAUUAGGGUAUGGACACAAUCAAAACACACUAUAUAUAUAUAUAUAUAUAUGAAAUUCUCCAAGAAUAAGUACAAAAUAUAUUUUAAGUGUAGACUAUGAUAUUAUUAUUACAAAAUGGUCUUGGUGCAAAGAGUAAGUAAAAUAAGAGAAAAUUUAUAUGUGAUUUAAUUUGUUAACUUGGAAUAGCUAUUGAUGUUAAAUUUUGUUAUGUUAUAGACUCGAAAUGAUACCCCCUGCCUUUCUGCAGUUUUGUUCUCUGAAUAUUUAUUACAUUAACUAUAAUCAGGCACAGCCUGAAAAUAUGAAAUGGAAAGCUCUCAAAAUAAACAAUUUAUGCUUUAAAUGACAUGUCAUUCACAGGAGUGUGGUGAAAUUGUUCGGGAUAUAUGAAAUGAAAAAUUCUAGACAUAAAUAAGUUUUGAGUUUCACAUUACAUGCCAUUCAUAGUAGCGUGAUGAAAUUGCUCACCAUCCUGCUCUGCUCCACCCAGGAUGUGAAUCAUCCUGAAGUCCAGCACUCCCUCACCUUAUUCUCAAUCUGCCAGUAAAUCAUUUAGCACCUGUCUGGGUUAUCAGACUAGCUGUCAUCAUAUCGCAGUGCUUGUACUCAGGUAACCUUUAUUUGGUUUGAUAAUGGCCUCAAAGGGAAAGUGUACCGAUGGUGGCAUUUUAGUAUAAUAAAUUGUUACAGUUGCUCUA